Long non-coding RNA from Sphaeramia orbicularis (orbiculate cardinalfish), 3014 nucleotides. RefSeq lists it as uncharacterized. NCBI's taxonomy places the organism in Eukaryota, Metazoa, Chordata, Actinopteri, Kurtiformes, Apogonidae. The transcript is spliced from 2 exons. The record is from RefSeq and is a predicted model, not a curated record.
UCCCAUCUCCCACCAAACUUUAAGGAAUAUUGAUGUUUGUAAACCAUACGGACAAUCAUGGUUACAGCUCAUAAUAUAAACAUCAAUAUUUCCUUAAAUUUCCUUUUGUCUGUAAAGAGUGGAAGAAGUGUGUUUGUAGCAAGGAUGAGUGGGUUCUGUUGAGGAGGGGUGCGUUGCUUUUCUUUGCCAUGCCCAAGGCUGUUCAUUAUCAACAGGGAAGGUAAUCAUUGAGGUGAUCCACUUUUAACGGGGCUGAUUGUGGCCAAUUUAGGGAUUGAAUAUUCUGCACUUUCUGUCCUGGUUCUUCCCUAGCCCAGUUUGUGUCCCACUUCUGUUUUCGAGAAGGACCAUCAAUUUUGGAGCAAUAAUUUUACCAAUUUCUUGUUCAUUUCCAUUUUCCCUUUCCUUGCUCUACAUUGAAAAGUGUUUACUCAAAGGAUGCACAAAUGCAUUGGCUGAACAUUGAUCGAUGUUAUAUUAUUAUAGUAUAUAGGUAUUAAAGUAGUGGUCAAUAUCAACUACAGAUGAGGGAUUUUUGUUAUAGAUUUCAGUUUAAAGGCUGGUUUUUGGUUAUUUAUUGUUACAAAUCAUUUGUGAAACGCAGCACAAGAUGAAAAUGUUUUGAAAGUUGUAAAAAUGCAAUAAGAUCUAAACAUUGUAAAAGACUCAACAAUAACGGUAUCUAUCUUGAUAUUUUUGUAAUGUGAGUAUAUAUGUUUGAUGCAAAACCCAGAAAUAAUGUGAUGAAGGGCUAUAAGAUAAGAUAAAACUUUACUGAUCCCACCAUGGGGAAAUUUUACAGUUUACAGCAGCAAUAUGUAACACACCAGUGCAAAAAAAGGCAGGUAGAAAUAAACAUCCUUAAAGUAUAAACAUUUUAAAAAAUUUUAAGAGUUUAAUCCUUAAAGACAAAGACAUUUUUAUGGUGACUUCCAAAUAUAUUCUUCCCUAUGUUUAACCUUUCCGAAGUGAUUUAUCGCAGUAUUGCCCUGCUUGCUGGUGGUUGUUUAGGUAAUUGAGGGUUAAAGCCAGUCUGCAAUUUUAAUAAUAACUGACGGAGUUUAACAUUUAACAAAAAAAAAACUAACAAUACAAUCCCUGUAAAAAGUAUUCAACCCUCUGGAUAUUUUGCCUUUUAUAAAUAGAAUAAUGAUGCAUAUAAUUUGGCUUUUUUAACUAGAACUCUUAAAAACUCUUGAAUCUCAAACUGAAAAUGAAUUUCUACAAGGCAGUGUCAUUAAUUAAAAAUAUAUAAUGUAAAAUAAGGGACUGCAUAAAUAUUCACCCCCUUGAACGUCACUGACCUUAUCCAACAGAGCUCCAGUGAGUUGGUACUUGUAAUAUCACAGCCAUAGGAAUGGAGAUGAGAGCAGUAACUGUGGUUUAAGUGAUUAUUCUCAGCAACAUUUAUACCAUGAAGACAAAAUAUAAAAUUAUUGAAAAAUAUGAGAGUGCAAAAAAAACACCCAAGUUGCUGUACAUUCAGUGUUCCUCAGGUCAGGACAGAAAGACUCCCAUAAAAAAACCCAUCAUGUAAUAUUUCAGCCUUUUGUCUUCAUUGAUUUCUCAUUAUGUCAGGGCUUCGAAAAUAGGACGUGGCCGUAAAUGUGUGAGGAAAAAUAAAAUUAAAUGCAUAAAAUUUACAGGAGUUCUUCUAUGGUACAAUAUUAGGUUGUUGAUUUGAUACACAAAUAUGCAAACGUGUCAUAUCUUUCAAAUUUUGGUGUGUAUUUGUCAUGUUUUAGUACUUUUGUGAUGGAAUAGUUGUCUGAUUUCCGUCCGUCCAUUCAUUUUCUAAACUGCUGAGGCCUUGUGAGGAGCCUAUCCCGUCCAUCACAGGGCUGACGUACACAGACGUACAACCUUUCACACCUAUGGGAGAUUUAGAUCGACCAGUUACACGUUUUUGGACGGUGGGAGGAACCAACCGAGAACAGAAAGGCCCAUAUUUACUUUAGACAGAAAUAACAGUCUUGAAGAUGCAUCACAGGUAAGUAUCAGACAACUUGUAUUUGCAUUUUCUGUCUAAAAGUUUCACCUUAUCUUUAUUCCUGGAAGUUUUGAUUUGUAUGAUAAACAACUACAAGCAAAAUUUAUGACUAAUACUGUCUGCCUGAACAGUUUGAAAAAUGAAUCGAUUUGUUUUUCAGGAUCUGAUGAAUGAUGGAACCGCCUGAACUUCAGCAGAAUGAAGUUCUUCAGUACCAACAUUGUGGACAGAACUCACUCUGUAUCAUCUAUUCAUACACGGGCCACACAAAUACAAUUCAUUUCAUGCAUUUCUGUUAUUUUUCUUUAUUGACAAAUACAGAAAUAAAAAGGUGUGAAGUAUUUUUUGUGUCAAAUGUGUGAAAUUUAGGAUGUGGAAUCACAAGUGAAGGUGUUAUGAUUGAAAUAUGAGGGUUAAAUCAAGGAUAAGGACAAAAAAAGACACUGUGGUCCAUCUAAUGCCUUCCUCUGUGGAUGAACCUGGAUGAGCACAGCUAAUUAACUUACUUUCAGACAUAUUUAAGACUCAGAUUACCUUUAUUAUUACAAUGCCACAGGGAAACCAGCUUGAAAUAUAUGCACGUGUAAUGAAAUAAUGAAAUGUAUAAAAAAUCUUUUUCAGAAGCCACUAAACACAAUUCUCUCAUCCUAUUUUAUAGGUAAUCUUUUUGAUAGUUUUAGCAGGACAUUAUUGCACAUUAUGAAUAAAAACACAUUAGAUACAAAAAGCUUACGUGCAGCAGACAGAAAUGGAAGGGGGUAAUGCAUGUUGUGAAUUUACAAGAUAUCUAAUCAUAAAAUUUCAUUAUAUAAAGUGUUUUUUGUAUUUUUUGGUUGAUGUGUUAUCCAUUUUUGUACAAACUGAACAACGUUAGACCUCAGUGAGCUUGAAAUAAUCGCACCUGAAAUGUAUUUUUGCGUCUCUCUUAUAUUUUUACGUAUUAUUAAGCAUAGAUAUGAUCCAAAAAGAUAAACCAAACCUCUGUUUUCAUCUUGUUUACAUGUUAAACAGGUCAGUUCAGUCA